UGGGGAAUAUUGCACAAUGGGCGCAAGCCUGAUGCAGCGACGCCGCGUGAGGGAUGACGGCCUUCGGGUUGUAAACCUCUUUCACCAGGGACGAAGCGCAAGUGACGGUACCUGGAGAAGAAGCACCGGCCAACUACGUGCCAGCAGCCGCGGUAAUACGUAGGGUGCGAGCGUUGUCCGGAAUUACUGGGCGUAAAGAGCUCGUAGGUGGUUUGUCGCGUUGUUCGUGAAAACUCACAACUCAAUUGUGGGCGUGCGGGCGAUACGGGCAGACUAGAGUACUGCAGGGGAGACUGGAAUUCCUGGUGUAGCGGUGGAAUGCGCAGAUAUCAGGAGGAACACCGGUGGCGAAGGCGGGUCUCUGGGCAGUAACUGACGCUGAGGAGCGAAAGCGUGGGGAGCGAACAGGAUUAGAUACCCUGGUAGUCCACGCCGUAAACGGUGGGUACUAGGUGUGGGUUCCUUCCUUGGGAUCCGUGCCGUAGCUAACGCAUUGAAGUACCCCGCCUGGGGAGUACGGCCGCAAGGCUAAAACUUAAGGAAUUGACGGGGUCAUAGCUGUUUCCU
Molecule: ribosomal RNA, 567 nt
Filed under: uncultured bacterium
Lineage: Bacteria
Description: partial 16S ribosomal RNA
Rfam family: Bacterial small subunit ribosomal RNA
Source: RNAcentral